CGUCUGUCCAGUCCUACUCUUCUCCACCAACAGAUGAGGAACACCAGCCUGAAUCCAGUUCAGCUGAAGCAAUGCACACAACAUAUGCCACCGUCACAAGACCCAGGGGUGUAAAAGAAUCCAUUUCAAUUGAACCAAAAUACACGACAUAUGCCACCGUCACAAGACCCAGGGAGGUAAAAGCAUUUCAGAUACGAACCACGCAGUAAACCCCCAGACAGAAGCAGGAAGUUCACUGUGUAGCAGCUCAAGGUUGUUUCUGAGUGAAGCUGCCACCGUUACAAUAAUAAAAGUCGAUGCCUGCGUUUGAUUUAUUUUUAUCAGGGUGUCGAGUUUGUAGAUGUGCUGUCGUAAAUUUGGACUUAUAUGUCCUCACAGAUGCAUUUUGCCCUAUUAUAGAUGUAUGUAUGACAGGUAAAAAUAAAAGCUAAGUAGAAGCCAAGUAGGUGAAAUAUAAAGUUUGUCUUAAGAUGCAAAGAAGUCGUGCUGAGUGUCCACAACUUCAUGUCAAACAGUUUUUGGGAUAUUUCUUUCAUGUUUUUCCUCACUGUGGGCUCACUUUUCACUGCAGUAUCAAAAUAAUAAAAGUCUUGCAUCUCUACAGCUCAACCAAGACUAGAAGUAGAGAGAACUUUAAGUGGAAACACCAAGAACCCGAGUUGAAUUUAGUCUGAUUGUUUAUUUACUAAACCAGAAUCAAUCUGAGUUUUUACUAAAAGUUUAAAAUUGUUAAUUCUUUAUUGAAUGUGUCUCCAAAACAGAGCCGGAAGCAUCCAGCUACUCAGCACCCUGGAUUGACACGAGACACUUUUAUCAUACGAUCGAUUAGGCAAGAAUGAGGCACCGUCGCUUUGUUUGUUCUCUUUGUUCUGCUGUGAAGGGAAAUGAUGGAAAAAAAGCAUCAUUUCAGGAGGUUUCUGUACAGUUACUGCAGGUUUUGUACGUUUGUAUGAACACUCAAUAUGUUGAUGGAUCAUUGAUGACAGUGUGCGACUUUGUUUGAAAUUAAAAAAAAGAAACAAGAGACUUCAGUCUCCUCACAGCAUCAGUGAGUAUUUUCAGAAGCAGCAGUUCAAUAGUGAAACCAUUCGUUUCUAUGUCUGUUCACUGAGCUGCUGUUGAAUAUACUCACUGUGGUGACGAUAUGUGACAAAUGUUGAAGUAAUAUUGACCUAAAAAGUCAUAAAUCAUCAGCAUAACAUCAGUUUGUGGCUGAGAAAGUAAAAACACUGUCAACGCAAGAACUUCCCCUCAAGAAAUAGUGAAGGAGGUGGAAUGAAUAUUGUUCUCUUAUGUAGUGUUUGUUCUUCAUCUGCUUUGCUGCUUUUCCAACCCUCACCCUGAUUGGUCGAGACAGACAGCUGACCUCCCUUAGCCUGGUUCAUAACUCUCGAUAAGUGGAGAUCGUUUGGUUCCUUCCCACUGUUGCCAAGUUCUUCUUGAAGGAAAUAGAAAGGAGGACGAGGAUUUGUUUGCUUUGUCUGUUUAAAUUCAUCAGGUCUUCAUCUUACUGUGUGAACUGCAAUGAGAUGCUGUGAACUGGCCCUAUAUUUUUUUUAAAAAAAGAAAGAACUUGAAAUUAAGUUGUGUUGUUGAAUAUUGUGUAUUGCAUUUUAAUAAAAUUACAUUCAUUAUAUAUAUUUACAGUUUAUACAGUAUCAUCAAAUGC
Long non-coding RNA from Amphiprion ocellaris (clown anemonefish), 1669 nucleotides. RefSeq lists it as uncharacterized. The record is from RefSeq and is a predicted model, not a curated record. The transcript is spliced from 4 exons. NCBI's taxonomy places the organism in Eukaryota, Metazoa, Chordata, Actinopteri, Pomacentridae.